UCAAAUCCCACCGAAUGCA
RNAcentral lists this small nuclear RNA (19 nucleotides) under Phaeodactylum tricornutum CCAP 1055/1. Its description in RNAcentral is "snRNA PTsRNA00024b". Lineage: Eukaryota; Bacillariophyta; Bacillariophyceae; Surirellales; Neidiaceae. The record is from RNAcentral.